UAGAACUACAACACGGCACAAGGUAAG
Molecule: non-coding RNA, 27 nt
Filed under: Mus musculus (house mouse)
Lineage: Eukaryota; Metazoa; Chordata; Mammalia; Rodentia; Muridae
Source: RNAcentral